UCCCUGGAGGACUAGUGGUUAGGCCUCAGAGCUCUCACUACUGUGGCCCGGGUUCGAAUACUGGUCAGGGAA
This 72-nucleotide transfer RNA is filed under the name Pangasianodon hypophthalmus (striped catfish). Its description in RNAcentral is "tRNA-Glu". The record is from RNAcentral. Lineage: Eukaryota; Metazoa; Chordata; Actinopteri; Siluriformes; Pangasiidae.